AGGACGAACGCUGGCGGCGUGCUUAACACAUGCAAGUCGAACGAUGAAGCCCUUCGGGGUGGAUUAGUGGCGAACGGGUGAGUAACACGUGGGUAAUCUGCCCUGUACUUUGGGAUAAGCCCUGGAAACGGGGUCUAAUACCGGAUAUGACCGCGCAUCGCAUGGUGUGUGGUGGAAAGCUCCGGCGGUAUGGGAUGAACCCGCGGCCUAUCAGCUUGUUGGUGGGGUAAAAGCCUACCAAGGCGACGACGGGUAGCCGGCCUGAGAGGGCGACCGGCCACACUGGGACUGAGACACGGCCCAGACUCCUACGGGAGGCAGCAGUGGGGAAUAUUGCACAAUGGGCGCAAGCCUGAUGCAGCGACGCCGCGUGGGGGAUGACGGCCUUCGGGUUGUAAACCUCUUUCGACAGGGACGAAGGGUAACUGACGGUACCUGUAGAAGAAGCACCGGCUAACUACGUGCCAGCAGCCGCGGUAAUACGUAGGGUGCGAGCGUUGUCCGGAAUUAUUGGGCGUAAAGAGCUCGUAGGCGGUUUGUCGCGUCGGCCGUGAAAACUGGAGGCUUAACCUCCAGCUUGCGGUCGAUACGGGCAGACUUGAGUUCGGUAGGGGAGACUGGAAUUCCUGGUGUAGCGGUGAAAUGCGCAGAUAUCAGGAGGAACACCGGUGGCGAAGGCGGGUCUCUGGGCCGAUACUGACGCUGAGGAGCGAAAGCGUGCGGAGCGAACA
This 731-nucleotide ribosomal RNA is filed under the name Amycolatopsis sp. Its description in RNAcentral is "bacterial SSU rRNA". It matches the Rfam family "Bacterial small subunit ribosomal RNA", at positions 26 to 774 of the family's 1533-position model. Lineage: Bacteria; Bacillati; Actinomycetota; Actinomycetes; Pseudonocardiales; Pseudonocardiaceae. The record is from RNAcentral.